CACACCGCCCGUCACACCAUGGAAGUUGAUUGCACCAGAAGUCGGUAGCUUAACCGCAAGGGGAGCGCCGCCCACGGUGUGGUCAAUGACUGGGGUGAAGUCGUAACAAGGUACCC
RNAcentral lists this ribosomal RNA (116 nucleotides) under uncultured bacterium. RNAcentral describes it as "partial 16S ribosomal RNA". It matches the Rfam family "Bacterial small subunit ribosomal RNA", at positions 1386 to 1501 of the family's 1533-position model. The record is from RNAcentral.